UUGACUUGGAUCAUCUACUCAUCGAUCUGUAAACGUGCAUCAAGAUGUCAGAUAACUACUCAUGGAAAUUGGUUAUGCUCCCAGACAAAGAAACCAAAAUAAACCAGGCCUUUGAUCAGCAAGCAGUCAGCACGACCCAGAGGCAGAGAGAUACCGAAGUAUAUGGAGGGGGGCACAGCUGUCUGCAACUCCAGCUCAGGUGAUCUGACACCCUCUUUUGGCCUCCACGGACAGCUAAACGCACACAGUUGCAGAACGACCCAGAUCAUCGGUGGAUAUUCAGCAUGACCUCAUCAAUGCAAGCAGUGCCCAGACGAAGAAUGAGGACAUCAGCAGCCCCACCCCCACCCCCUUGGUAUCUCCCAGCCUCUUUCAACCACUGGCCAAACAAGGAGCCUCUAUCCUGACCUUUAACAUCGAAGAUUGGUUUGGGCUGGUUUUGAGUUGACAUAAAUGGGAUUGCCCAGUACACAUUCCUGUCUGGAUUCUUUGCUCCGCCUUAUGUUUUCCAGCUUGGCCUGUGUUUUGCAGAGCAAACCAUUCAUUUUCCACAGUGCAGUAGAGCGUUCUACACUUCCAGAGUGUGGAACACAAUUAAGAGUUCAUGGAGAAAGAGAAGAGCUGGAGAGUGAGCGAG
RNAcentral lists this small RNA (637 nucleotides) under Rattus norvegicus (Norway rat). RNAcentral's name for it is "uncharacterized LOC102549948". The record is from RNAcentral. Lineage: Eukaryota; Metazoa; Chordata; Mammalia; Rodentia; Muridae.